UGGUUACCGGCCUUGACGCUGGUGGUAGUGAGUUAUGAGGAUUCUUGCCGCUGUUAUCUGAAGUCAUAUGUUGAGCCUGCAGGUCAGACCGAGUAUGAUGAACUGCUGCCAACAUAGGAGGAAAAAGGAUAUUUCAAAGACUUGCUUGUCAAGGAACUUAAAUAUGAAAGGCUACCCCAGACAUAAAGAAAACUAAAAUUAGAGAAGAAAAAAAAAAACCAAAACCAUGUUUUACGAUAGAAGUUACGACAAGCAGGUCCUUAACUGGUACUUAGCGAAGAAACUAUAGUACCAUCAGCAACUGAAAUUCUUAUGAUUCCUCAUGGUCAACAAGAAAUGCUUCAAAAUAUGAAUCUUCCAUUAGAAAAUAUUCAACUCGACCGGACUUUUUAUUAUGAUUUUACUGAUGUACAAGGAAAAACCAUUUACCAGAUACCUGAUAUCGCACACCUUUAUAUAUCAUGGAUUCUGAAAGUUAAAUAAAUUUAAAGUGGAUAUCUUCUAAGAUCUGUUAUAUAAGGGUCAUUGUUAAUCAGAAUUUGCAUUGGGCGGGCAAUAAUGAAAUUUGUGGAGAUAUACUAGAUCAACAGAGAUACCAUGCUAAUUUUGCAACUGCGUAAAGGUCCAAACUAGCUGGCACUGCCCGACGGAUAAACUAUUCUUAUAACCAGUGAUGCCGUUUUUUCUUCACAACAUUGGCUUUCAGUAGUGUUACCAUAGGCAGUUCAUCUUAUUUUUUUACUUUAUUUAUGAUUUAAUGGUUAGAAUGCGUAUUUUCCAAUGUACCUAUAAUUAUUUCCCGUGAUGUUAGAAAACUACAAGUCACUAGUUCAAUAUAAAGUAUUUUUGACGAAGAAAAAUAAAGGAUUUCAAUAAAAUUCAUUUGUAUAAAUAGGCAGGAUAUGUUUUGUAUCU
Molecule: long non-coding RNA, 915 nt
Organism: Macrobrachium nipponense
Lineage: Eukaryota; Metazoa; Arthropoda; Malacostraca; Decapoda; Palaemonidae
Exons: 3
Source: RefSeq, a predicted model, not a curated record